GAUCCUAGAUGGAGCCAAACAUUUGGUAGUUCCUCCUUCUCAUGUUUCAUUAGAGAAGAUGAGAUAGGCGAGAUAAUUGGCUCAAAAGUAUUAACUGUUUCAUCAAUUCUGAUCAAACAGAUGUCAGACUGAGCCAGACAUUUGGUGGCUCCUUCUUAUGUUUCAUUAGAGAAGACCAGAUAGGUGGGCAAGUGGCUCAAAAUCUUAACUGUUUCAUCAAUUCCGAUCAAACAGACGUCAGACUGAGCCAAACAUUUGAUGGCUCCUCCUUCUCAUGUUCCAUUGGUGAAGAUGAGAUAGGUAGAACAACUGGUUCAAAAGUCUUAACUGUUUCAUUAAUUCCAAUCAAAUAGACGUCAGACUGAGCCAGACAUUUGGUAGCUCCUUCUCAUGUUUCAUUGGUGAGGAUGAGAUAGACGAGACAAUUGCCCCAAAGUUUUGUCUAUUUGAUUAAUUCCGAUCAAACAGAUGCUAGACUCAGCCAAACAUUCGAAGGUUCGUUCUUCUUAUGUUUCAUUAGAGAAGAUGAGUUAGGUGAGACAAGUGGCUCAAAAUCUUAACCGUUCCAUUAAUUCCAAUCAAAUAGACGUUAGAUUCAUUCGAGCAUUGCAUGGUACUGGCGACAGCUGUCGGAAACUUUCUGAGACGUGGAGACCUAUGACAUUUCCCAUAUUAAACCCAAUUGUAUAAAACCCAAGAAGUAAUCAGUGGUAGAAGCAGUCACGUGGAAGACACGAUCUGUGCCAGACAGCUCUUAUUGCAGCUUCUAGAAAUUACGAAAAAUCUACAAGGAGAUGCAGCGUAGAACUUUCUUUUUUUUUAAACUAAUCGUUUUUUCCACUCGAAUACCUCAAUAUCUCUUUCCAGAGAAUUAAAAAAUACAUCGAAUAGAGUACAGAAAAGUGUAUUGUUUCAUCAAAAAAAAAAAAAAAAAAA
This 936-nucleotide unclassified non-coding RNA is filed under the name Bombus terrestris (buff-tailed bumblebee). Its description in RNAcentral is "misc RNA ENSBTSG00005020997.1". Lineage: Eukaryota; Metazoa; Arthropoda; Insecta; Hymenoptera; Apidae. The record is from RNAcentral.